This 847-nucleotide long non-coding RNA is filed under the name Mus pahari (shrew mouse). RNAcentral's name for it is "lncRNA (MGP_PahariEiJ_G0006400.1)". The record is from RNAcentral. Lineage: Eukaryota; Metazoa; Chordata; Mammalia; Rodentia; Muridae.
AGCCUCCACCGUGCUCUGCGCGUGUGUUGCUAGGUGUGGCUGCUUCCUCGAAGUUCAAGCCUGGUUUUGAGGUGACCCUCGGCUCGGGUGACAGUUUAAAAGGCAAAGGACAUGAGUUAGCUGGUAAACAGUCCAAACAGAUCUGAGGACUGGAGAGAGAGCUCAGUGAUUAAGAGCACUGGAUGCUUUUGCAAAGGACCUGGGUUCACUUUGCAGCACCUGCAUGAUGGCUCACACAUUUCUAUGAUGGCAGUCCUUCUGACCUCUGCAGGCACAGCAUACAUGUGCUACCCAGACAUACAUACAAGCAAAACACCCAUAAACAAAAAUACACCCCCAAGUUAGAAAUAUGACACAUUCCUAAAGGCAAUUCCACUGUCUGAGUCUCCUGAAUACUGGCAUUAUAGACUUGUGCCACCAUGCUCAAUGACAUUAUCAGCUUAAAUGACCAUGGUUGUACAUGUGGCCUCUUAAGUCUGCAGUGUUUUCAUGCUGUGCAUGGCCCUCUUGGAAACAGUUGUCAGCCCUCUUGACCUUGAGCACCUUGGACUGUGGCUUCGUGUCCUCUCACCUGCCCUGAAGCUGACCUCUGCAGCUCACACUUUUCACCCCAUGCCUGUCUGUUGCCUGCCAGGCCACAUUGACUUUUCUCACCAGUGACUUUCUGUAAAUUAUCUUCCUAACUCCUGACAGCUGCUAAUGUAACUUCCUAUGGAUUGCUGGUCCUGAACAGAGAAAUCAACCGGUUCUGAGGAGGGCAUUGUACUUUAUAACAUCUUAAAAGAAACUAUGAAGUCAAGUGUUGCUUUGAUCUUAGCAUGCUCUGGAUAAAUAAAGAUUAUGAUCU